This 468-nucleotide ribosomal RNA is filed under the name uncultured bacterium. RNAcentral's name for it is "partial 16S ribosomal RNA". It matches the Rfam family "Bacterial small subunit ribosomal RNA", at positions 28 to 507 of the family's 1533-position model. The record is from RNAcentral.
GACGAACGCUGGCGGCGUGCUUAACACAUGCAAGUCGAACGGAAAGGCCCUGCUUUUGUGGGGUGCUCGAGUGGCGAACGGGUGAGUAACACGUGAGUAACCUGCCCUUGACUUUGGGAUAACUUCAGGAAACUGGGGCUAAUACCGGAUAGGAGCUCCUGCUGCAUGGUGGGGGUUGGAAAGUUUCGGCGGUUGGGGAUGGACUCGCGGCUUAUCAGCUUGUUGGUGGGGUAGUGGCUUACCAAGGCUUUGACGGGUAGCCGGCCUGAGAGGGUGACCGGCCACAUUGGGACUGAGAUACGGCCCAGACUCCUACGGGAGGCAGCAGUGGGGAAUAUUGCACAAUGGGCGGAAGCCUGAUGCAGCAACGCCGCGUGAGGGAUGACGGCCUUCGGGUUGUAAACCGCUUUCGCCUGUGACGAAGCGUGAGUGACGGUAAUGGGUAAAGAAGCACCGGCUAACUACGUG